CCAGCAGGCCUGGAUUGUUAGAGGGAUGUCUGACUGCCAGUUUAGACCUGUACCCCAGGAUCAGGUUUAAACCAGCAAUCAGAUAUCCCCCAAGGGGUCCCAGAUUGGAGAGGGUGCAGGCUGGGCUGAGAGGACCCUCCUCCCGCCCCAUGCACGAAUUUCGUGCACUGUGCUUCUAGUCUUAUCAUAUUUGGUAAGAUGCUCAAAUGUGAUAAGCUUUACGUAGUCUUCCAUGAGGGGGAAGGCCACCCACAAUGUGGGUGUGUAAUCUUA
Pipistrellus kuhlii (Kuhl's pipistrelle) is the source of this 273-nucleotide long non-coding RNA. RefSeq lists it as uncharacterized. The transcript has 4 exons. The record is from RefSeq and is a predicted model, not a curated record. NCBI's taxonomy places the organism in Eukaryota, Metazoa, Chordata, Mammalia, Chiroptera, Vespertilionidae.